GACGAACGCUGGCGGCGUGCUUAACACAUGCAAGUCGAACGGAAAGGCCCUGCUUUUGUGGGGUGCUCGAGUGGCGAAAGGGUGAGUAACACGUGAGUAACCUGCCCUUGACUUUGGGAUAACUUCAGGAAACUGGGGCUAAUACCGGAUAGGGGCUCCUGCUGCAUGGUGGGGGUUGGAAAGUUUCGGCGGUUGGGGAUGGACUCGCGGCUUAUCAGCUUGUUGGUGGGGUAGUGGCUUACCAAGGCUUUGACGGGUAGCCGGCCUGAGAGGGUGACCGGCCACAUUGGGACUGAGAUACGGCCCAGACUCCUACGGGAGGCAGCAGUGGGGAAUAUUGCACAAUGGGCGGAAGCCUGAUGCAGCAACGCCGCGUGCGGGAUGACGGCCUUCGGGUUGUAAACCGCUUUCGCCUGUGACGAAGCGUGAGUGACGGUAAUGGGUAAAGAAGCACCGGCUAACUACGUG
RNAcentral lists this ribosomal RNA (468 nucleotides) under uncultured bacterium. RNAcentral's name for it is "partial 16S ribosomal RNA". It matches the Rfam family "Bacterial small subunit ribosomal RNA", at positions 28 to 507 of the family's 1533-position model. The record is from RNAcentral.